Non-coding RNA from Podarcis lilfordi (Lilford's wall lizard), 5450 nucleotides. The record is from the annotation of a GenBank genome assembly. Lineage: Eukaryota; Metazoa; Chordata; Lepidosauria; Squamata; Lacertidae.
ACGUGUAUGUGCUUAGCAGAGCCGCCCAGCCAUUGGGCAGGGUGAGGCUGCUGCCUUAGGCGGUACUCCGUGAAUUUUGGCCGAAAUUGUGUAAGGUCUUGCAAUGCCUGCAAGCAGAACACUGGAGGAAGAGAUGCCAGUGGAACGAAUGGGCUCUACCAGGUUCUUUUUUAAAUUAAAAACAAACAAGCCCAGAUCCACCUUCCUUGUGCUUUGCUUCCUUUGCUUUGCAGCCUCAUUAGUCCUUUGGAUAGCCACGUGUGAACAAGCUCUUUUAAAAAGUUUCCCCCCAUAAGGCAGUCCUGUUGAUGUUUCCUCUAAAGACCCACUGAUUAUUCCCAGGUACAAGUAUACAUAGCCUGUGUUACAUAGGGAUGCAGAUUUAGGCUGAAAUCCAAUAAUUUGCUUGGAGGUUAAGUCCCAUUGGUAUAGGUUUGCACUGUUGAUCUCAGAAAUAAUUGGUUGUAGAAAACAACACGAGGCCAAUUUCCAUCUUCCUCAUUGCUGGCCUUGUCAAAACAGAGAAGGAAAGGCAGGAGGGAAUCAACUAUGAUAGCUGGAGACGGUCUCUUGACUUGCCAUGUACGCAGAAUGGUAGAAUAUUUUGUGAGGGCUAUUUAGGUAAGUAUGCCUUCCUUCUGAUGUUAAGUAGUCCCAUUUGAGGGGGGGCACCACAUCUUUUCCACUGUAAAGUUCAGUGAAGUCAUAGGGUGAUAUUCCAGGACUCUGUACAUUGCUUUUGAGAAAUGCUGGUGUGUACACAUGAUAUUUUAUUAUGGAAUCAGUGGAAACAGUACUUGUUUUUUUUCUAUGCAGUCCACACAAGUGCAUAUUUUUUGCUCCUGAAAAGCACUUUAUGAGAAACUGGUUUCAUUCAGAAAAUAAAAGCUCAUUGAGAUUGAUUCUGCAUUCUUCUGCAGUAUGUCCAUUUGAAAACAGGUGUAGGCAGUGCUAUUUUUCUAGAAAAAGUGCCAGAACUCACCAUGAAUGCCUAUUUCUUUUUCUUAGAAUGGCAAUGGCACCCACCCGAGAGGUGUUGGAACUCAUCUGAGAGGUUCUGGAACCCACCUGAGGUGCCAGACUGAGUUCUGGUGAGUUCCCUCUGAGAAUAAGUUCUGGGUGUAGGUGUUGUUCCUAGCAAUGGAGGGGUGUAACUGUAUCUGCCCAGUUACAUAUGUUUGUACAUAUACCAAGGUUGCAAUCACUACUUCCUUCUUCAUUCACCGGGGCAUGGGCAUGGAGAAAAAGGCAUGGAUAACCUAAUGAAGGUGUUUCAAAUAACCACACCUAUCUUUGUGGAUGGUGGCAUCUAAAAUAAAUCUAAAGCAUGUUGAGAGCAAGCAUGAAUGAUUCUGGAUUAAGGAAAGGUACAUUUUUGUGAUAAAACUGCAUACAGAUGAUACAUUUAAUUUACAUAACUUCCCUCCCAAAAAAUCCUGGAAACUGUAAUUUACGUCUCACAGAGCUACAAUUCCCAACACCCUUAACAAACUACAAUGCAGGAUUCUUUGGUGAAAGGCACAUGGUUUCAUGUUGUUUAAAUUCCCUGUGUUAUAGGUCCUGUUCCCAAUAUAUGUCUACUUUAUCCAGCAGAUCUUCAAGCUUGGUUAAAAAGCCAGCUACAAAACACACUGGUGAGUCAAGAAAAUAAGUUUGUUAAUGAGGAAAUAAAAUACUAAUAGUGGCAUGCAGUAAAUUGUGCUGUUAGUUUGCAUUUUGCUGAUAAAAUGAUCCAUGUCCUAACCUAUGAUACAAUGCUACUAGGGCUGCCAAUCUUUUUCUUUUAGGUAACAACAUGAUGUAGUUCAUUGGAAAACUAAAUAGAUUGCUUUAAUGUCAGUGAUUUUAGAACUAUGGACUGCAUUAAUCACUACUUGUGGAUCAAAACAAAGGUUUGCAGCUUUCCCCUACCAUUAACAGCUUCUGCUGUUGUUCAUAAUAAAUGUGCUGCAGUUUCCUCUGAAAGUAAACACAGCUAAGGUACAGCAAUAUGUGCUAAUAUAGUGCUAAUACAGAAUGCAAUCAUCAGAUUUUGAUUUACUCCUUAGCAAUUAUCUGCAGGAUUACAAACAUUGUCAAAAAAUGUCCUUGGGCUGUACCCAACCAAGUAGUUCCAUUUAGCACAAGGACCUAAGGCUGCAAAAGGGGACUUGCCCUUCCCUUUUCUCUUCCUACCUCACCCAAUCUGUUCUUGGGGUUACCCCAACCCUCUGGUGCAGAUCUGGGGAGGGCAGGAGGGGGGAUGGAGGAGAGGAAUGAAAAGUUCUGUUGCAUAAAUACAACACUCUGUGCUAACAAAACUACUUUGUUGGAUACUGCCCCUUAUUUCCCAAGCAUGAAUUCAAUUUCAUGUUAGCAUCUGCCUAAGUAGCUGAUAUUGUUAUUUGUAGGCGAGCAGUGGGGAUUUUGUUAUUACUUGUUCUUUGAAAGCAGUUCACCACCAUAACAUAUAAUGAUGUUUUUUAAAAUUCCCCUCUGUUUCAAACUCCUUUGGGUGGUCCACUGUGAAACAGUGACAUGUAAGAGACAGUGUGGUAUUGUGGUUAGAGGGUUGGACUGGAACAUGGGAAACCAGGGUUCAAAUUUCCACUCAGAUAAGGCAUAUUAAAACAAUAGUUGUCUUGAUCCAGAUGCACAAGCAGAAAGAGGUAAAUGCACACAAAUCUCUCCUAUUUUACUUCGAUUAGUAUGACUCAUCAUGUAAGCACGGAGGUAAGGGGGAGGCAGCAGAUGUCAGAGUGAGUUCAAUUUCCUCUCUCCUGAGCUUCUGACUGGGGAUUGGAAUUAGCAAGGCUAGCAUUUUCUUAGCUAAGAGAUGGACAAUUCCUGCCUUACUCUUGUUGUUCUCAGCAAUGGUAUUGCAGAAUCUUGAGUUCUGAUAGCAUACUAUUCCAAAUACUCACUUUUAAGAUUAUUCAGUCCCAAUGAUUUUCCAUAUUUCAAACCAUAUUUACUUACAACAGUGACUGGAGCUGGCUCUGGUUACUCAGUGAUGGGAAUAUGUUCAGCACAUGCUAAGAUGGCCUUCUCAUAACCUGUGUAUUCUUUGUUUCAUAAAGAAAUAGGUUGUGAAGCUGAGCCUUGGCACAAAUUAAAUUCUGCAGCUGGUCAAAUGACACUGAAGCAUGCCAAUGUAAAAUUGUAGUUUUAGCACAGAGAUCACCCACAAUUCGUUAGUUCUGAAAAAUGCUAUAAAUAAAAGAAUUUAUCUGUAAUUUUGGGAUCUGCUGUGAAUCAAAGUUCUUUGGUUUAAAAUUUUGCACUGUUGCUAUGGUGUUUAGAUAAUACCACAUGGCAUAUAUUAAUAACAGAUUUCUUGAAAAUAACAUUUGCAGUUAAUUUUCUAUGCCUUCUCUCAAUUGUUCUAUUUCAGUGAGUGACGUAAUAAGAUCCCCCACACCCCUGCUCUAAAAGCGUACAGAGUGUAUCUCUACAAUAUACAUUCAGCGAGCAGCUGCUUUAGAAUGUGUUAGAAUUGACAACUUUGCCAUAGUUUCAUUCAAAGUGGUGUUGCCAGCUGGGAGGUAUCAAAAACAAAGUUUUUGAUAAGUAAGCAUCGCUGUGGAUUUGUGUAUCUGUUUUCGUGGGUUAUGUUCUUUUCUGUGUUUGUGUACCUCUGAUUUGCACGUGCAAGAAAGCUAUGUAAGCAGCUAUAUAGCUUUGUAAGAAACUAGCUUGAGCACAAAGCUAUGAUUUGUAUGUACCAUAAAGGUAAAGGGACCCCUGACCAUUAGGUCCAGUCGUGACCGACUCUGGGGUUGCGGCGCUCAUCUCGCUUUAUUGGCCGAGGGAGCCGUACCAUACUCAGGGCUUUUUUUCAGCCAAAACUCGCUAAAACUCAGUUCCGGCACCUCUCAAGUAAGCACCAUUGCUAUGUUUAGAGAAUGAGGGAGGUGAUCAUGGCAAGAUCCAGGACCUCUUUUUCCAGAACAAUAGCACCACUGACCAUACUAUAUAUGCAAAGCUAAAAGUGCUAUUGUGUUUAAGCAAGUGAAAAAGGGAGUGUGAGCCUUUUGACAAAUGGAUAGCUACUAGGAGAAGCAUAAUUUUUUUUUAAAAAAAAAUCUUUCUGGCCAGGUUUGUUUGAUGCCUUCCCUGUGUAUUUUUUUGCCCAAUAUAAUAAUACGCUUUUCUUAGCCAUGGGGUAUAGGUAUUUUGAAUCAAUGAAGAAAUACUCAUAAAUCUUAGGAGGCUCAAACAGAUGUUUUAGAGACGUUAUUAUAGUUAGGUUUAUUCAACUGACACAUUAUAUGAACCUUGAAACACCCCUUAUUACUACCGGUAUUUUUAUGUAGAUUUAUUCAUCAUAAUGAAAUAUCAGUAGUAACUCUUAAGUGUACAUAUGCCUACUGCAAACAUUCAUCCCAAGAAAAGUAUUCCCUUACCAAAUUUUACCUCUUAAAAAGUGUGACUGUUCCAUGUCCUUGUCUCUUUUCUUACUAAUUAAGGCAGAAGCCUUAUUCUCAGUUAACUUGAUAUGGACAGGGCUAAAAAUCCCAGAGGAGUUUAAGGGACAAACAAGAUGAGAUGCCACUCACACAACUAGCAGUUAUGGUAAAGUCCCUCCCCCCCCCCCAAUUUGGUAAUUUGUAGGUCUGGGACUCCUAAUCCAUACUGGGAUUGUUGGUGGGGGGUGGGCUCUACCCUUUGCACCCUCACUGUUGUCCCACUCUGGUUUGCGGUCCCUGUGCUUGCUAUUUGCGUUGGAAGAAAGUCUUCAGAUAGUGCAAGUAAGAGCUUUUCUUCCCAUGCAAAUAGCAAGCACACGGAUCCCUGCUUCAGAUUGGGACCUCAGAUUGGGAAAAAGAGUUAAAGCCCCCAGCCUCUGCCAGGGUACCAGUGCAGAUCUGAAGGCCUGCUAUUUACUUUUACAAAGCCAUUCACACAAUUGAUUUGUAUGAAUGAUAUCUGAUCUAGUUUGGCCCUAAGUGCGAGACUCUGUGCCAAACACUCUCCGUAGUACUUUUUCAUGAAAAUUAAAUGACAAUCUAUCAUGUACUUAAAACUGAGCACAUUCUUGAGUGCUGUGCUUCAGUAGGAUUUGGGAAAUCUACAAAAGUAUCUUUUGUUUUGUUUUGUUUUGUUUUGUUUUGUUGUUUUUCUAGUACAAUCUAAUAACUUUUAGGUGGAACAGUUGUGCUUUUAAUUUCAAGUGGAAAAUAUUAACCAAUGUUUUUGUAGAUAUUGCCAGACUCUUUAUGGAUGAAUUUGGCAAGUUAAGCACUCAUAUGGUGUUCAGCGCUCCAUUAUAUAGAAGUGUAUUGGGCAGAGAUUUGUAUAUAUUUAUAUUCACUUCAUGCUGUAGAAUGAAAAUUGGCUUUUAACUCCUGCAAUGACUUUGCAAAGUUUUUUGCAGAUAAAGUCGCUCAGAUUCGAGAAGAGGUAGACUCCACCGUGGGAGCAGGGCCGGGGCGGGAGAGUGCUAGAGUCCUGUCUAGUCAAGUUGUGUG